This 830-nucleotide ribosomal RNA is filed under the name uncultured bacterium. Its description in RNAcentral is "bacterial SSU rRNA". It matches the Rfam family "Bacterial small subunit ribosomal RNA", at positions 10 to 796 of the family's 1533-position model. The record is from RNAcentral.
AGUUUGAUCAUGGCUCAGGAUGAACGCCGGCGGUGUGCCUAAUACAUGCAAGUCGUACGCACUGGCCCAACUGAUUGAUGGUGCUUGCACCGGAUUGACGAUGGAUCACCAGUGAGUGGCGGACGGGUGAGUAACACGUAGGUAACCUGCCCCGGAGCGGGGGAUAACAUUUGGAAACAGAUGCUAAUACCGCAUAACAACAAAAGCCACAUGGCUUUUGUUUGAAAGAUGGCUUUGGCUAUCACUCUGGGAUGGACCUGCGGUGCAUUAGCUAGUUGGUAAGGUAACGGCUUACCAAGGCGAUGACGCAUAGCCGAGUUGAGAGACUGAUCGGCCACAAUGGAACUGAGACACGGUCCAUACUCCUACGGGAGGCAGCAGUAGGGAAUCUUCCACAAUGGGCGCAAGCCUGAUGGAGCAACACCGCGUGAGUGAAGAAGGGUUUCGGCUCGUAAAGCUCUGUUGUUGGAGAAGAACGUGCGUGAGAGUAACUGUUCAUGCAGUGACGGUAUCCAACCAGAAAGUCACGGCUAACUACGUGCCAGCAGCCGCGGUAAUACGUAGGUGGCAAGCGUUAUCCGGAUUUAUUGGGCGUAAAGCGAGCGCAGGCGGUUGCUUAGGUCUGAUGUGAAAGCCUUCGGCUUAACCGAAGAAGUGCAUCGGAAACCGGGCGACUUGAGUGCAGAAGAGGACAGUGGAACUCCAUGUGUAGCGGUGGAAUGCGUAGAUAUAUGGAAGAACACCAGUGGCGAAGGCGGCUGUCUGGUCUGCAACUGACGCUGAGGCUCGAAAGCACGGGUAGCGAACAGGAUUAGAUACCCUGGUAGUCC